GCGAACGCUGGCGGCGUACUUAACACAUGCAAGUCGAACGAGGAUCGUCGGGUUAGCAAUAAUUCGGCGGUUCUAGUGGCGUACGGGUGAGUAACACGUGGGUAACCUGCCCUCGAGUCCGGGAUACCCUCUCGAAAGGGAGGCUAAUACUGGAUACGUUCCCUGGGGCGCAAGACCUGGGGAGGAAAGGUGGCGAAAGCUACCGCUCUUUGGAGGGGCUCGCGGCCUAUCAGCUAGUUGGUGAGGUAACGGCUCACCAAGGCUAUGACGGGUAGCUGGUCUGGGAGGACGACCAGCCACACGGGAACUGAGACACGGUCCCGACUCCUACGGGAGGCAGCAGUGGGGAAUUUUCCGCAAUGGGCGACAGCCUGACGGAGUGACGCCGCGUGGGGGACGAAGGGCCUUC
Molecule: ribosomal RNA, 409 nt
Filed under: uncultured bacterium
Lineage: Bacteria
Description: bacterial SSU rRNA
Rfam family: Bacterial small subunit ribosomal RNA
Source: RNAcentral